This is a long non-coding RNA of Callithrix jacchus (white-tufted-ear marmoset), 655 nucleotides long. RefSeq lists it as uncharacterized. NCBI's taxonomy places the organism in Eukaryota, Metazoa, Chordata, Mammalia, Primates, Cebidae. The record is from RefSeq and is a predicted model, not a curated record.
UAGCAAAGGAGGAACAGCAUGAUGGAUAAGCUGCCUGGGAUCUGAUAAGCCAGGGCUCUAAUUUGGCUCACCUACUUUCUGGCUGUGGGAUGAGGCUUAGGAUGAAUUACCUAAGUUCUCUAAGCUUUAGUGUCUUAUCUGUAAAUGGGUAUGUUGGAAGACUUAAGCAAGUUGGGUUCUGAGAAGGGCCCUGUGCAGGGCCGAGUACAAAAAUCAGAUGAACAUCUGCUUCUGGCCACCAUGAUGUAACAAGUACCAGAUUGACCGCUGAGACUUAAAACACUAAAAAACUUAAGGAAAACCUAUGAACCGAUGGCUUCCACAUUGGGCAAUAGGCAGCUUGAGAAAGUCAUCCCCGUGACAGGAGAGAGCUGAGAGAGAUGAAAUCUGGAGCAUUUGGGCAGGAAGACCCAGGAAUAGCUCAGAGAAGUCAGUGAAGCUGGUUCCUGACCGAUGCGGGAGAGCUGACAGGGGAGAGCUGUCCAGCAGAAGAAACCGCAAGUGCCAUGGGGCUCCAUCAGUCCUCUCCCUGUCUGCUGGGCUGCCGUGAGCAUGCAGUUGGAAGGCUCCUUCUGAAGGUGGAAAGUGGCGGGGUCUGAAAAUGGAACAGACAGCAAAUAAAUGCACAAACCUCUGUUUAUGUUUUUAUCAGUAA